GGGGCCGACCGGUUUUGACAGCGAGGCCAAUUGGGAUGUAAGCAUGCCGAGCGCUGAAUUACAGCUCGUAAAUCUCAUUUUUCACACUUUUAAUAGGCGAGAAUAACUACGCUCUAGCUGCUUAAUCCGAAUUAUAGUAGGAUUUAGCCACGUCCUUACAAGGUAGGGAGGCCAGAUGUUCCUGAGAAGCCCUUGUUGUUGGCGUCUCAAUCCGGAACACCAUCAAAAGCAACAUAGAGAGAUUAAGGCUUCGGUAAUCUCUUAAAAAUAAAGAAGCUAAGGUUGUGUUGGGCGGUUUUCGGUCAGGCACCUCACGAAAAUCAAUCGAAAACUAAGCAUGAAGAAAGCAUUGUAAUUGCUUGUUUGGACGAGGGUUCGACUCCCUCCGGCUCCACUU
Flavobacteria bacterium MS024-3C is the source of this 397-nucleotide non-coding RNA. It matches the Rfam family "transfer-messenger RNA". Rfam says of the family: Bacterial tmRNA, also known as 10Sa RNA or SsrA, is named for its dual tRNA and mRNA-like properties. Its role is to liberate the mRNA from a stalled ribosome. To accomplish this part of the tmRNA is used as a reading frame that ends in a translation stop signal. NCBI's taxonomy places the organism in Bacteria, Pseudomonadati, Bacteroidota, Flavobacteriia. The record is from Rfam.